GGAUGGGUGGCCGAGUGGUCGAAGGCACCGGUCUUGAAAACCGGCGUACGCAAGUACCGUGGGUUCGAAUCCCACCCCAUCCGCCA
This 86-nucleotide transfer RNA is filed under the name Erythrobacter sp. RNAcentral's name for it is "tRNA-Ser". It matches the Rfam family "tRNA". Rfam says of the family: Transfer RNA (tRNA) molecules are approximately 80 nucleotides in length. Lineage: Bacteria; Pseudomonadati; Pseudomonadota; Alphaproteobacteria; Sphingomonadales; Erythrobacteraceae. The record is from RNAcentral.